Molecule: ribosomal RNA, 413 nt
Filed under: uncultured bacterium
Lineage: Bacteria
Description: bacterial SSU rRNA
Rfam family: Bacterial small subunit ribosomal RNA
Source: RNAcentral
CAGUGGGGAAUAUUGGACAAUGGGGGAAACCCUGAUCCAGCAAUGCCGCGUGAAUGAAGAAGGCCUUAGGGUUGUAAAGUUCUUUCACCUGUGAAGAUAAUGACGGUAGCAGGAGAAGAAGCCCCGGCUAACUCCGUGCCAGCAGCCGCGGUAAGACGGAGGGGGCUAGCGUUGUUCGGAAUGACUGGGCGUAAAGGGCGCGUAGGCGGCUUUUUAAGUGAGGCGUGAAAGCCCUGGGCUUAACCCAGGAGGUGCGUUUCAGACUGAAAGGCUUGAGUGCGAGAGAGGAAAGUGGAAUUCCUAGUGUAGAGGUGAAAUUCGUAGAUAUUAGGAAGAACACCCGUGGCGAAGGCGGCUUUCUGGCUCGCAACUGACGCUGAGGCGCGAAAGCGUGGGGAGCAAACAGGAUUAGA